UACGUAGGGUGCAAGCGUUGUCCGGAAUUAUUGGGCGUAAAGAGCUCGUAGGCGGUCUGUCACGUCGGCUGUGAAAUCCCGAGGCUCAACCUCGGGUCUGCAGUCGAUACGGGCAAACUAGAGUAUUGCAGGGGAGACUGGAAUUCCUGGUGUAGCGGUGAAAUGCGCAGAUAUCAGGAGGAACACCGGCGGCGAAGGCGGGUCUCUGGGCCAUAACUGACGCUGAGGAGCGAAAGCGUGGGGAGCGAACAGG
RNAcentral lists this ribosomal RNA (253 nucleotides) under uncultured bacterium. RNAcentral's name for it is "partial 16S ribosomal RNA". It matches the Rfam family "Bacterial small subunit ribosomal RNA", at positions 524 to 776 of the family's 1533-position model. The record is from RNAcentral.